Molecule: long non-coding RNA, 1299 nt
Filed under: Citrus x clementina
Lineage: Eukaryota; Viridiplantae; Streptophyta; Magnoliopsida; Sapindales; Rutaceae
Description: Citrus clementina (C. clementina) long non-coding RNA (CCLE_LNC000671)
Source: RNAcentral
CGGGCGGCCUCCGUGUGCCAAAAAUAGGCCACGGGCACAGCCGCGCCCAAAAAUCAGCCCCCGAAGGUCGGGGUCACAAGACCCCCCAGCGGAAAAAAGGCCAAGAAACGCGUGGGCUAUAGCCUUGGUGGGGGGCGUGGGUGAAGUUCGUCCGCGGGACUCGGAAUGGCACCAUACUUGGCGGGCGGCCUCCGUGUGCCAAAAAUAGGCCACGGGCACAGCCGCGCCCAAAAAUCAGCCCCCGAAGGUCGGGGUCCCAAGCCCCCCCAGCGGAAAAAUGGCCAAGAAACGCGUGGGCUAUAGCCUUGGUGGGGGGCGUGGGCGAAGUUCGUCCGCGGGACUCGGAAUGGCCCCAGACUUGGCGGGCGGCCUCCGUGUGCCAAAAAUAGGCCACGGGCACAGCCGGGCCCAAAAAUCAGCCCCCGAAGGUCGGGGUCACAAGGACCCCCCAGCGGAAAAAAGGCCAAGAAACGGGUGGGCUAUAGCCUUGGUGGGGGGCGUGGGCGAAGUUCGUCCGCGGGACUCGGAAUGGCACCAUACUUGGCGGGCGGCCUCCGUGUGCCAAAAAUAGGCCACGGGCACAGCCGCGCCCAAAAAUCAGCCCCCGAAGUUCGGGGUCCCAAGACCCCCCAGCGGAAAAAUGGCCAAAAAACGGGUGGGCUAUAGCCUUGGUGGGGGGCGUGGGCGAAGUUCGUCCGCGGGACUCGAAAUGGCCCCAGACUUGGCGGGCGGCCUCCGUGUGCCAAAAAUAGGCCACGGGCACAGCCGCGCCCAAAAAUCAGCCCCCGAAGGUCGGGGUCCCAAGACCCCCCAGCGGAAAAAUGGCCAAGAAACGCGUGGGCUAUAGCCUUGGUGGGGGGCGUGGGCGAAGUUCGUCCGCGGGACUCGGAAUAGCCCCAGACUUGGCGGGCGGCCUCCGUGUGCCAAAAAUUGGCCACGGGCACAGCCGCGCCCAAAAAUCAGCCCCCGAAGGUCGGGGUCCCAAGACCCCCCAGCGGAAAAAUGGCCAAGAAACGGGUGGGCUAUAGCCUUGGUGGGGGGCGUGGGCGAAGUUCGUCCGCGGGACUCGGAAUGGCCCCAGACUUGGCGGGCGGCCUCCGUGUGCCAAAAAUAGGCCACGGGCACAGCCGCACCCAAAAAUCAGCCCCCGAAGGUCGGGGUCCCAAGACCCCCCAGCGGAAAAAUGGCCAAGAAACGCAUGGGCUAUAGCCUUGGUGGGGGGCGUGGGCGAAGUUCGUCCGCGGGACUCGGAAUGGCCCCAGACUUGGCGGGCGGCCUCCGUGUGCCAAAAAUAGGCCA